This 275-nucleotide ribosomal RNA is filed under the name uncultured bacterium. RNAcentral's name for it is "partial 16S ribosomal RNA". It matches the Rfam family "Bacterial small subunit ribosomal RNA", at positions 338 to 605 of the family's 1533-position model. The record is from RNAcentral.
CCUACGGGUGGCUGCAGUCGAGGAUCUUUCGCAAUGGGCGUAAGCCUGACGGAGCGACACUGUGUGAGUGAUGAAGGCCUUCGGGUUGUAAAACUCUUUUAUUUGGGAACAAGAAAGGUUAGUGAAUAACUAGCCAAUUUGAGGGUACCAGAAGAAAAAGUACCGGCUAACUACGUGCCAGCAGCUGCGGUAAUACGUAGGGUACGAGCAUUAAUCGGAAUUAUUGGGCGUAAAGGGCGCGUAGGCGGAAGUGUAAGUCAGGUGUGAAAUACCAA